CAAGAGCUGCAGGCCAUGGGGAGCUGCCACCCAGAAUCACAGAGCUGUGAGUUCACAGUGCCCCGUCCUAUGGCUGUGCUAUGCUGUGCUGUGAGCUCACAAGGCCUGGCUGCGACGCUGUCCUGUGCUGCAGGCUUCGCUCUGUGAAACACUCACUGUGGCUGCAGCGGUGGUAGUGGAAGCAUGGUGCAAGUGUGGGGGGCCAUGGCCCCUACCCGCCUUGUCCUCUUCCUCCUACUGAUGGCCAUGUGUUUCUGGGUGACCUGUGCUGCUCCAUGGCGAGCACCGGGAGCAGGUGGGUGGGCAGAGAUGGGACCCAAACUGAGCAGCACUGAGGGCAAGAAGUCAGGCUGUGUCCCCACGGCCCUGUGCCACACUUCCCUGGGGCCUGCCUUCCAUGGGGGUGGUGUUGGGCAGAGGGUGAUGGGCAGCACCACAGGAGCCGGGUAAGAGCCCAUGGCGGAACUGCUCCGCAGGGCUGGCUCCAGCCAUGCCAGGCCAUGGCUCUGCUGCUUGCUGGCUGGAGCACAGCCUUCAUCCUGGGAGAUGUCCUGGGGAGAGCUCAGAAGAUGCAUGCUGGUAAAAGAGUGAGCAUUUCUGCUCCAGGCUCAUGGUAUUCCGCAUAGAUGAAUCCCAGUUUCCAACACAGAGCCCCGGCCCACAGCCCAGAGGAAGAGACAGACAUGCUUUCCUCCAGUGCUUCAGUGUGACCUUCCUGUACAUCAGAGGCCUCCCAAUAAGAAAGCCCCGAGAGGCUGUAUCUUCUUCCAUGCGGUCUGUGAGGGAUGUGGCACAUGGCCUGGAGAGAGUAUUGUGUACGCUGCCAGGUGCCAGCCUACAGGUCAUCCUGGACACCCUGCAAUUUUCAAAAUCAUGACCUGAGUCCUUCUCCCAUCCCUGUUCCACGACCCACAUCCAGUUACUGAGAGAGAAAGAGAUCACACCAUGCAAUGGGAACUUCUCUCAUCUGUUCUUGAUUCUAGAUGAUGAGCUCAGUGCUCCCUUUCCAGGAGAUCCUUUGGAUCCAGAUUCUGUGCGUGUGCCCGUGGGACAACCCAGAGGCCCUGCUGGUGAAUCAGCAGAAUGGAAUCCUGUCUAUGAGCCUGAGGGGGAUGCUGGAGAUGUGACUGGAGGAAGUGAUCCAGGUUCCCCUCUAGGUUCUGGGACUGAAACUCCAGCAGAUCACAUGGGUCCAGAAGGAGGAAAAGAUGAAUCCAAAAGAGUAGAAUACUCCCAGGGCUCAUCCCAUCUCCUAAACGAACUGCUGAAGGAAAUGGAGAAGGCAGCGCGUGGGACUGACCAACAAACUGCACAGGACGCGCUGCAGGAAGGCAGCCAUCCCACGCUGCCAGUCUGGGACAGAGAAACACAGACAGUGCCAACAACUGGCAUGCCAGGGAUGAAUGCUGGGAAAGGCACAAAGGCUGCUGUUCACAAAUCUGUGCGAAAGUGCCACAUCGCAGCGAUGGUACUGUUCUCUGCUGUGCUGCUGUCUGCGCUGGUGCUGGCCUGUGGUGCUGCAUUAUGGACGUGCAAAAAAUACCUAGUGUGCAAGAGAGAAGAAAGAGCAGCAGAACGAGCUCUUCCUGAUACCAACUGAGAGAGUGUUCCAGCUGGAGAUGAGGGCAGAAUGGAGCUGGGAGAGGCAACAAAAGAGACUCUUGCCCAACCAAACCAGAAUCUCAACAAUAGUUCCAGUUCGUUCCAUUCUACCAUCCAAGAUGCCAAAGGUCUUCAAAGUGAUCUGGAAGACCUGGAGCGUGAACUCAAAGCCAGGAAAGAGGUCCACGGGAACAGUCCUGAGUGCUUUCUGUCAGAGGACGGCCCUGAAGGUGAGAGCGGAGAAUCAGCAGCAGAGCUUUUGUCCUUCACCCUGCAUUCUCCAGGACAAGUAUCAGCAAUAAUUCCAAGAUUCUUAGCUCACCAUAGCUACAGUCCUUUUGAGGGUCCUAAUGAGGACCCAGAAAGCGAGCUUCCUCUGACUGCUGGACAGUAUUGUUUAUUGUCUCUGGGGAUGGAGUUAUUGUUUACGUCUUUGGAGAUGUGGAUGAGAAUGGCUGGUUUCUGGGAGAGCUGACAGAUGGCACAAGAGGACUGGUCCCUUCCAGUGUGGUUGUGGAAGUUUUGGAUGAUGAACUGGAUACAAUGAUGCCUCCAGAGCUUUGUGAUCUCCUGCUGCACACUGAUGAUUAAGUGGAUGCAGAGAUUCCAUAACGCAGCAACAUCCUGUAAAAAUUCCUGCACUGAUUCAUCUACAAGACUACCCCCUGCUCCACUUGAUGUUCAAGUGGGGUGUGAGCAGGAUGUGGAGCUCUCUGAGGUGACUGACAGUGUAACUGCAUAGUCUUAUAUAUUAAAAACAAACAAACAAACAGAAAACCCAAUAAAACUAACAAACAAAAAACCCAACACUGUUCUUUUUCUUGGAUACAUUGACGAUACUUUUUGUAGCUGAGACUUUGCAAUGAGUCCUGAAGCAGAUUUGAACUGGUAGAAGUAGGCAGUGUCUGCAUUCCGUUCUCCUAAUUUCCUUGCUGGUCGGAGUUAAGGUGCCAUGCAUCCAUUCCCCAGCUCCAGCUGUCUCCUGAAUCAUGAGAACAGCCUUUCCACACUGUGAGAACAGCCUUUUCACGUAGUUGGAG
Gallus gallus (chicken) is the source of this 2642-nucleotide long non-coding RNA. RefSeq lists it as uncharacterized. The record is from RefSeq and is a predicted model, not a curated record. The transcript is spliced from 7 exons. Lineage: Eukaryota; Metazoa; Chordata; Aves; Galliformes; Phasianidae.